Molecule: long non-coding RNA, 1338 nt
Filed under: Homo sapiens (human)
Lineage: Eukaryota; Metazoa; Chordata; Mammalia; Primates; Hominidae
Description: HSALNT0233122
Source: RNAcentral
UCCGUGAACUCCACAUCGUUCUCAAAUUCUGGGAAAUGUUCCAUCUCAAUUCCAACCUAUACCAACAGGAGGGAGAGGCCAACUUAUCAGAAGGAGGGAGAACAGGCCAAUUUCCUGUGCCAGAAAUUAAGGCCAGGCCUACCACUCCUAUGGCACAGUAUUGAUGAGAGACAUCAGUGGAGCUCCCCACCUCCACCCCAGGCUUGGAACUUAGGGAAUGACUGGUUUUUGUCAUUUCACACAACAGCUGAAGGAUUCUGUCCCCACCUCGUCCUCUGUGAAGUCUGCUGGACGUACCUGCCAGAAUCUUCUGAAGAUGACGUUUGCUGAACACUGACCCACAGGGGUUUGAUGGAUUAUUGACAAUGAGACAAGCUGUCUUUUCAUCAAUUAGAUAUUCCAGUUGUUUCAGGUCAAUUUCCCAAGAUUUCUCUGGCUGGAGAGAAAGAAAGGAUGAGACUAAGAUGAUUCUGAAACAUUUAGGGGGAAUCCUCACUUAUCUCAAGGGUCCAAUGUAAGCAAUAAAGUCUGUCUCUGGCUUCAACCACCACUUUGAGACCUUCCUCUGCUGAAGUAAUGUUCAUAUAUUUUUUACAGAUUGGGCAUCUAUCCCACACCAAGCACUGUCUGGCAUCUUGAACCUGAAUCGAGUCAUGUAAUCUUCACAUCAGUCCUAGAAGUAGAGGCUGUUUCAUUCCCACUUUACAAACGAAAGCUAAGUCACACUGGUAAUUGGUGGCGAGUUGGAGUUCAAGCUUCAUAAUCUGGCUCCAGAGCUCACUACACAAGUCUGCCUCUCUUCAGCGGACAAAGUAAGUUGAGAAGCACAGUCUUUUCUUCUCUAAGGAAUAUAAAAAGAGAAAACAUGAAGACAGAGCCAACUGGGAAAGCCUUAAGAAAAUAGUGAAUUAACUAUGUGGAUUAAGUAUGGACUACUCUCUGAACUUUUAUUGCUCAUCUUUAUUAAUUAUUUUGUAUCUUUGCACCCUGAAUCAUCAUUAGUUAUCACUCAUCCUUGUUGGGUACAGAGAAUGUACAUGUUCUACUUCUCCUAGCCGACUGUAUGUUACGUGAGGAAGUGCACAGCGGGGACAUUCCUAAUACUUUCAACAUCCUCCUUUGUAUCUGGCCCAGCACUUUAUAGAAGCCGUGUUCAAUACUCAUUAGCCAGUUGGCAAUAAAUUACAGUACAUGAUACAGAGGGGGAAAAAUGGUGGAAGAAGUGGUAAUUGAAGGGAAACCAAAGUCUCUUCAUAUUUAUUGUAUUUGUAGAUGGUGGGGUGAAGAAUUUAGGAGGGAUUAAGAGACCAGGUUGGACUUUGAUAAUGUAUAAUGCCU